GCCAGGUGUGGUGGUGCACACCUGUAAUCCCAGCUACUCAGGAGGCUGAGGCAGGAGAAUAGCUUGAACCCAGGAGGUUGCAGUGAGUGGAGAUUGCGCCGCUGCACUCCAGCCUGGGUGACAGAGUGAGACUCUGUCUCAA
This is an unclassified non-coding RNA of Callithrix jacchus (white-tufted-ear marmoset), 142 nucleotides long. It matches the Rfam family "Metazoan signal recognition particle RNA". From Rfam's summary of the family: The signal recognition particle (SRP) is a universally conserved ribonucleoprotein. Lineage: Eukaryota; Metazoa; Chordata; Mammalia; Primates; Cebidae. The record is from Ensembl.